UGAUUUAGGGUGUGCGGUUAUAAUCCGUU
Molecule: non-coding RNA, 29 nt
Filed under: Rattus norvegicus (Norway rat)
Lineage: Eukaryota; Metazoa; Chordata; Mammalia; Rodentia; Muridae
Source: RNAcentral